GUAGGGAAUAUUGCGCAAUGGACGAAAGUCUGACGCAGCAACGCCGCGUGGAUGAUGAAGCAUUUCGGUGUGUAAAAUCCUGUCGGUGGGGAAGAAAAGUAUGAUGAGUAACUGCUUCAUACCUGACGGUACCCACAGAGGAAGUCCCGGCUAACUCCGUGCCAGCAGCCGCGGUAAUACGGGGGGGACGAGCGUUGUUCGGAUUUACUGGGCGUAAAGGGCGCGUAGGCGGGUCUUCAAGUCGGAUGUGAAAACUACCAGCUUAACUGGUAGCCUGCAUUUGAUACUGUUGAUCUUGAGUACGGGAGAGGAGAGUGGAAUUCCAGGUGUAGCGGUGAAAUGCGUAGAUAUCUGGAAGAACACCAGUAGCGAAGGCGGCUCUCUGGACCGAUACUGACGCUCAAGCGCGAAGGCUUGGGGAGCAAACAGGAUUAGAUACCCGAGUAGUCC
Molecule: ribosomal RNA, 450 nt
Filed under: uncultured bacterium
Lineage: Bacteria
Description: bacterial SSU rRNA
Rfam family: Bacterial small subunit ribosomal RNA
Source: RNAcentral